RNAcentral lists this ribosomal RNA (494 nucleotides) under uncultured bacterium. Its description in RNAcentral is "partial 16S ribosomal RNA". It matches the Rfam family "Bacterial small subunit ribosomal RNA", at positions 28 to 507 of the family's 1533-position model. The record is from RNAcentral.
GACGAACGCUGGCGGCGUGCUUUAGGCAUGCAAGUCGAACGCGAAAGCCCCUUCGGGGGUGAGUAGAGUUGCGAACGGGUGAGUAACACGAGGGUAACCUGCCCCUCGCAGGGGGAUAACCGGGGGAAACCCCGCCUAAUCCCCCGUACGCUUGCUGGGUGACCUGCUCCGUCCAGGAAAGUAAGCUUCGCCCUCCCGCCGUGGUAGGGGCCCCCGCCCCACUAGCUAGUUGGGGUGGUAACGGCCCACCAAGGCGACGAUGGGUAGCGGGCCUGGGAGGGUGGUCAGCCACACGGGAACUGAGACACGGCCCAGACUCCUACGGGAGGCAGCAGCCAGGAAUCUUGCGCAAUGGGCGAAAGCCUGACGCAGCAACGCCGCGUGGGCGAUGAAGGCCUUCGGGUCGUAAAGCCCUGUUGUCGGGGACGAAGGGCGAAGGGUUAAUAGCCCCUAGCCUGACGGUACCCGACGAGGAAGCCCCGGCUAACUACGUG